Molecule: long non-coding RNA, 2346 nt
Organism: Papaver somniferum (opium poppy)
Lineage: Eukaryota; Viridiplantae; Streptophyta; Magnoliopsida; Ranunculales; Papaveraceae
Exons: 5
Source: RefSeq, a predicted model, not a curated record
UUCAGUUGCCCAAAACAUGUACUAAUGAGGUUCAUCUCAGACUCUCAGGCAUCUCUCUAAAAGUUGUGAUCACAAAUUCCAACCCUUUUAAAGCCGAUCGAAGUCCUUCCAUACUCUCUGAAUGUAUCUGUGGUUUAGAUUUUAGAGAGAGAAGUUCGAAUUCCGCAUAUUUGUUCUCGAAGCUCUUCUUCUACUCAACGAAACAAGUCUUGAGUGAAAUCUCAGAUUGAUAGAUAGACCUUGUUAUUCAAACUUUAAUGUUACCCAAAUCAAAAAAGAAAGACACUUACUAAUGCAAACCCUACCGGUGAUCAAUAGCAAAGUUCUCUGAAUUCACUUGCUAACUUGCUCAGGAAACAAGUCUUGAGUGAAAUCUGAGUUUGAUACAUGGAUUUUGUUAUUCAAACUCAAAAGCCAUGAAUGUUGCCCAAAUUAGAAAUGCACCCCCCACAAGUGUUGGCACCAAAGAUGUCUAAUGCUCAAGGAACGUGUACUGGAGCUAAGAUUGUCACCACAUUCGCUCUGCCUAAAAGGAAAUCUUGAAGGUACUGAAUACUUGUCGAAGCCACCGACAAACAAAGGGAAAGAAGAUGGAAGCAUCGGUAAGGAAGAUAAAAAAGCUGACAGCUCCAACAGGAUUGCUGAAGAAGUAUAUGCACAACAACCUAAAUCGGUGGUCCAUUUUGUUGCCUAUCCAGAUUUCUAUGACUUCGACAGGGAUAUAAGAGUGAAGAAUGCUUUGCAUUUGAUCAGACGUGGGCCAGAUUGAUAUACGUACAUUCUCCCAUAAGAUUUCUUUGAAAAGAAGUGUUAAGAAGAGUUAUAAGAUCUAUCCCCCAGAAAGGGAAAACUUGGGCCCUUUACAAGAAUCGGAACCUUAAAUGGAUCUCUGAUUUCGGCAACCAUAGAGGGUAUGAAUAUGAAUUUGUUGUAGUCUUGUCAGAUUACAGUAAGAAAUCAGGCAUUUUGGUUGCCCAUUUGGUCAAGUUAAAAGGUUUUGUAUGCCUGUUUAAACCAACUAAAAAAAAAUGGCGCCAUGGCUUCCUUUCAGAUACCAUCCAACGAAAGGUUAAGAUUUUCUCACAGGGUUCCUUCAUUUAGAACGAACAGCUAAGAACGAGAAGACGUUCCAGAAGGUUAUUUUGAACUCGAUAACUGUUCCCUGCCCAGUAACCUUGAAGAAAUUUCUGAAACUGUUGAUGGUGAUAUGAAUGGUUCGUUAAAGUCUGUAUUAAAGGAGAAGCAUCCUAUGCCAAUGAAGAGAAAAACUUCUGAUGUAGAGAGUACUUCGGAUGGGAGUUACCCAGGUGGAAAUAAGUCUUUUAGGAUUUCAAAUGGAUGUUAUAAGAACUUAAGCGGGCAGUAGAAGCUUCUGGUCGACCUCUGGAUAAGAAUAAGGCUACCAGUAUUUCAGACAGCGAGAAAGAUGCUGGUGCUCACUCUAAGGAAAUGACUCCAGAUGGUGAGUGCCAUACCUGGCAGUGCUCCCCUCUUCACCUUCUUCCUUGAAGAUUUUUAAAAUGCUAGAUACAGAAUUCUACAACUUUAACAAAGAGCAAUCCCGUGAACAGUUUAAGACUGGCCAGCUAUGGGCUCUAUAUUGCGAAUUGGAUCCAAAAUCUAUGCUCGGAUAUAAAGUGGCUUAAAUCUUGCCAUACACCGAGAGACAUUAUUUCAUGGGUUGACAAGGAGAUGCCAGUAAGCUGUGGAACAUUUAAGGUCACAUCUAUUGAAGUUGUUAUAAUUAAUAAUGCCAUCCUUUCUCUGAUCAGUUAAGUGAAGUACCAGCUGAUAAUAACGUGUACACAACCAAGGGCAGGGGAAGUGUGGGCAUUAUACAGUAAAUUUAGCUCUGGCUUGACUCUACUGCGGUUUUGCAAAGAGGGCUAAAGAAAAAGAGGGACUUGACUCUACUGCGGCUAUACCGUGGAUUGAAUUGUAUAGAUUCUCUCAUCUUUCAUGUUGUCAGGAGCAAGGUGUGGGCAGUUGCGUGGAUGCUGGGAGCUUGAUCCUAGAUCAUUGGCAGUUUAUCAGUACUCGACGAACUGAAGAUGAGCAGGUUGGUGUAGGUUUUAUCCAGUCCGACAGUCUAUUCCGGAAGAGGAACCAUUCAUAAAGGUUGAAACUACAAUCUACUUUUUGAUUUUCACCAAUGGGAGAAUGUCCCUUCAAACACUGGAGAGCUACAAACUGGUUGUUUGACUGGCAGAAGCUUCUAUUGUAAUGUGCCUUUGUAAAGUGGACAUUGUAAUCGUUUAAGAAUUCAGAGAAGGCACUUGAACUUUCUACAUGCACCUUUGUUCUUUUAUGCCACAAAGAUGGCUGUUAUAUUCUUUACAAAUUUCC